Gasterosteus aculeatus aculeatus (three-spined stickleback) is the source of this 4544-nucleotide long non-coding RNA. NCBI's taxonomy places the organism in Eukaryota, Metazoa, Chordata, Actinopteri, Perciformes, Gasterosteidae. The record is from Ensembl.
CAAGCAGUGGUUUCACUGACUUGUGCCUGAUCUCUAAGAUUCAACAAACGGAGGAUACCAUCCCCACAAGAACAUCAGAUCCUUAUCACCAAGAUCCAAGAAUUAGAGGACGACAAAAUCCACCAUGAAAACAUUCUGCCUCGACUUAAAAAAAAAAAAAAAGAGCAUUUUUGGGAGAGACGGAUGGAAGACCCGGCAGACGGAGAUGGACAAAAUGAGGCGCAAGAUGCAGGACAAAGAGACAAAGAAAUAGGAGAGAGAAGAGAAGAAAAAGGAGACCAUCAAGGACGUCAACAUCAACGUGCCUGAGACUGUAGUAAGUAAGUAACACCUUCCUUCACCUCCCACUCCAUCCUACCUUAUCCAUCUACCCCCCGCUCCCCGUAAUUGUUGACCUUACUUAAAAACUAAUUUAUGCUUAAUUUGUUGACCAUACUGAAGGAAACUUAGUAAAGUACACUUUCUGCUCCGGAAAGUUAUGAACCUUAUGAUGUCAAGUAACGUUUACUUAAAAGAAUGAGUGUCGAAGAACUUUCCCCAAAACCUCGGCUGCACUCGGCUCUAAUACGCAUGCACACUUGACCACCGAAGACGUAAUUUCCUUUGAGGCGGCUGCUGGAAGCGGGAAGAAAGCGCUGCUCUGUCCAGAAGGUAAGUUUCAGCUAACGUUACAUGAUAAAAUGUUACCGUUUACUGGCACCGUUCUACCUAGCAAACUUACUCGUCCAUUUGCCAUAUUCUUCACGUGUUAGUUAACGUUGGUUAUUGGGGGUUAACUUUUAUCUCAGCUAGCUAACGUUAGCUGUUAACAUUUAAGCUAACAUUAGCUUGACCAUCAGUGUGGGACCUUCUAGAAUAAAUCUAACGUUAAAUAUAACAACAACUGUACGUUAGUAACGUUAACUUGCACUGCACUUAUACGACGUCACGUUUCACUUAGCGCUAUUACAAUUGAUGUUAACGUUAGUUAACCGAAACAUGUAAUAACAUAUUUAAUGUGCGACAGGACGGUAGCGGUUAUUAACGUAAUAACGGUUAAACAACGUGGCUGCCUAACGCGCGUGCACGGUUACCUCCCACUCCAUCCUACCUCAUCCAUCUACCCCCGCGCCCCUUCCACUCGCGCUACACAGCGCUAAAUACCCCCCCGCAGGCAUGGACCGCCUCCUCAUUCAUUGGUAAAUAUCAUUGCCAUUGUAUAUUUUAUUCCCUGCGCUCUAGGAAGUGUUUUUUUCCAACUUUAUCGUCUGGACAGUAGCAUGGCACGGCCUCUGAGGAUGAGGAAUCUUUUUCAUCUCAUCCAUUUCGUUCUUUGGCUAAUGCAAGGCUGCAGAUGAAGAUGAGGGGAUUUCUGUAUCUGCCCAUAUACCCUGAACCUGGCCAAUGACCAUAACCAUUAUUUCCCCGGGCGCGCCCCAACACCAACGCCCCCCUCCUCAUCUUCAUUUGCGGCCUUGCAUUUUGCCCAAGAAAGAAAUGGAUGAGAUGAAACGGGUUAAUGGAAGGCUGCAGAUGAAGAUGAGGGGAUUUCUGUAUCUGCGCAUAUACCCUGAACCUGGCCAUUUGGCCGGUGUUUGGAUGAACUACCACGGCUGGGUUGACGAAUCAAUAGUGACAACUUGUGAAGGUAGGCCGAUAGUUUCAUUCGUCCGUCGUUGGAAAUUGGGAUCUCGGUUUGAUUUUUCAAGUUAUGCAUUAGGCAAGGUAGACACACAUGUCCCCCUCUAUAGUUUCAAUAAUGCCAUGCCAAUAUUACAGUGAUGCCAUGCCAAUAUAUAUAACAUAUUAUCAUACUUCAUAUUUGUAAUAUCAUAGAUAAUAACAAGAUAAUAUAGGACUAAUAUCAUAUAGCAUUAUGUAGGACUAAUAUAACAAACAUGCCAUCAUACUUAGUAUUUCUAAUAUUAUAUAACUUAAUAUCAUAUACAGUGUUUUCCCUACCAUUAUUUCCCCCGGCGCGCCCCAACACCAACGCCCCCCUCCAGUACGUCCGCCCCCCCAUAGUUGGGAACAUAGGGGAAACACUGAUAUGACAUAAUAUAGUAGAACUAAUACAGGAGAUAUGGCUUUAUAAUUACUGAGAACAGAAUAUCGUAGAACUAAUAUCAUAAAAUAGCAUCGUAUUCCAUAUUUCUAAUACCAUUUAACAUGAUAUAGAACUAAUAUCAGAAAUAUAGCAUUAUAUUUCAAUAUAUGACAUAAUAUCUUAUUACAAUAUCAUAAAUAUAAUUGAACAGAUGCUAUUUUUACCACUAGCCAUGCCUUUAAUACAAAGUAUAGAGGGGGGCAUGUGUGUCUACCUUGCAUAAUGUAUAACUUGAGAAAUUGACGACCGAAUGAAACUGUUGGACUACCUUCACAAGUUGUUACUAUUGAUUUGUCAAACCGGCUGUGUGAGGUUAUCCGAACAUCGGCCAAAUGACCGGUUUCAGGGUAUGUGCGCAGAUACAGAAAUUCCCUCAUCUUCAUUUGCGGCCUUGCAUUUUGCCCAAGAAAGAAAUGGGUGAGAUGAAACGGGUUAAUGGAAGGCUGCAGAUGAAGAUGAGGGGAUUUCUGUAUCUGCCCAUAUACCCUGAACCUGGCCAAUGACCAUAACCAUUAUUUCCCCCGGCGCGCCCCAACACCAACGCCCCCCUCCGGUACGUCCGCCCCCCCCAUAGUUGGGAACAUAGGGGAAACACUGAUAUGACAUAAUAUAGUAGAACUAAUACAGGAGAUAUGGCUUUAUAAUUACUGAGAACAGAAUAUCGUAGAACUAAUAUCAUAAAAUAGCAUCGUAUUCCAUAUUUCUAAUACCAUUUAAGAUAAUAUAGAACUAAUAUCAGAAAUAUAGCAUUAUAUUUCAAUAUAUGACAUAAUAUCUUAUUACAAUAUCAUAAAUAUAAUUGAACAGAUGCUAUUUUUACCACUAGCCAUGCCUUUAAUACAAAGUAUAGAGGGGGGCAUGUGUGUCUACCUUGCAUAAUAAAUAACUUGAGAAAUUAAACCGAGAACGCAGUUUCCAAUGACAACCGAAUGAAACUGUUGGACUACCUUCACAAGUUGUUACUAUUGAUUUGUCAAACCGGCUGUGUGAGGUUAUCCGAACAUCGGCCAAAUGACCGGUUUCAGGGUAUGUGCGCAGAUACAGAAAUUCCCUCAUCUUCAUUUGCGGCCUUGCAUUUUGCCCAAGAAAGAAAUGGGUGAGAUGAAACGGGUUAAUGGAAGGCUGCAGAUGAAGAUGAGGGGAUUUCUGUGUGAGGUUAUCUGAACAUCUGCCAAAUGGCCAGGUUCAGGGUAUGUGCGCAGAUACAGAAAUCCCCUCAUCUUCAUUUGCAGCCUUGCAUUUUGCCCAAGAAAGAAAUCGAUGAGAUGAAAAAGAUUCCUCAUUCCUCAGGCGUUGUGCUACUGUCCAGUCAAUGAAGUUGGAAAAGAACACUUACUGGAGCACAGGGAAUAAAAUAUACCCAUUGAAUGAGGAGUCUGGUCCUCAAAUGCCAAAAAGUUAUAUGCCCCUCCCCCAUUUUCCCCCAUUAAAAACAAAAAAACUAAAAACGCAAAUCCCAUUCCAUCCUACCUCAUCCAUCUACCGCCACUCCCCUUCCUACCGCGCUUCACAGCGCUCAAGACCCCCCCCCCUACCACCACCACCGGCGCCGCCGCCAUCACAACGCUAAAUACCCCCCUAUGCCGCCCCCCCGCCCUCGCCCUUUCCACCUGCGCUUCACAGGGCUAAAUACCGCCCUGCAGGCAUGGACCGCCUCCUCAUUCAUUGGUAAAUAUCAUUGCCAUUGUAUAUUUCAUUCCCCGUGCUCUAGGAAGUGUUUUUUUCUAACUUUAUCGUCUGGACAGUAGCAUGGCACGGCCUCUGACGAAUGAGGAAUCUUUUUCAUCUCGUCCAUUUCCUUCUUUGGCUAAAGGAGGGCUGCAUAUGAAGAUGAGGGGAUUUCUGUAUGUGCGCAUAUACCCUGAACCUAGCCAUUUGGCCGGUGUUUGGAUGAACUACCACGGCUGGGUUGACGAAUCAAUAGUGACAACUUGUGAAGGAAGUUCAUGGGUGAGAUUUCCUUUGUUAAAGUUCCCGAGGGCAAUAACUAAGGAGUCCGGGUUGGUCCGCUCCACACGCCGUAUCUGGUCGGCGAGUGUCCGCUGUGCCUCGAACACGUUACCCACCGGCGACAUGUAAAGUCGCAUGUCUGGCUGAUACAACUACACAAUAGCAAGGUGAGCAGUAGAACUACAGCAGGUGACGACCCCUGGCUAAUUAAAAGAUAAACUUACUUUAAGAUGCUUCUUCAUGUUGGGAGUCUUUGGACCCUAAAAGGAGGUAGUUUGUGACACCGCACAGUUGUCUUCCAUUCUCCCUUCUCUUUCUUUAACAUGAAAUGCUUAUUGAAUUUCCAGGGUAUAAGCAUUCCUGCCCCGGCUCUGUUGUUCCAGCUCUGGCAGCUGCUGCUCUUCAGAUUCCCGUCAGCAGCUACUCAGACUUUUCAUUCGUUUCCACGUUGGGGCUUCAGGGAAAUGCAUCAAGUUGCCUUCAUUUAUUUAGAGAGUGCACAGCUAAA